Macrosteles quadrilineatus (aster leafhopper) is the source of this 644-nucleotide long non-coding RNA. RefSeq lists it as uncharacterized. The record is from RefSeq and is a predicted model, not a curated record. Lineage: Eukaryota; Metazoa; Arthropoda; Insecta; Hemiptera; Cicadellidae. The transcript is spliced from 2 exons.
GUAAAAUGGCAGCAACCAUGUACUGGGUUUUGGUUUUGGCGCUAGCUGUCGUGGUAGCAGCCGCACCUUCUCCUGACUUUGUAUCACUAGUUUCAACCAAAGACAAGGCUUUUACCGAAGUGGAUCCAAAAAACAUACAUUUUGUGGCAGCUAAUGAAGAAGAACUUAGAGCUUUAUACAAGUUAAAUAUAGAACGUGAAUUAGGCUUAGCAUUGGAUAAUGCUAGAGAAAAAGCCGAAGAAAUAUGGUCGGGUCUUAAAAACAUGUUUGGCAAACCUUAUAUAUUACUUUAAGUUAUUGGCCUAUCAUAGCAUAUAAUAGCGUGAAGUAUAAUAUGAUCAUCUUAAAUAAAGCAUCUUUGAAUAACUUGUUAAAUUAACAUAGAAAUGAGUCUACCUUCUUUUAAAAUGUUAUAAUAUGGAAAAGUUUAGCUAAUAUAUAUUUUUACGCAUAUGAUUUCAUCUAGAGAAGCAGCAAAAGUAUAGUAUCUUUGAAGCAGGUUUGAAUUACAUUUCACAAAAUAACUACGGAAGAACUAACAUUUAUUACAUUAGGUUAAAAUGUUGAAUUAUUUGUUAUUUACAUGAUAUUGACAUUAUCAAGGUUGUUUUAAUUUAUUAAAUCAACUAUACAGUGUGUUUGAA